Gambusia affinis (western mosquitofish) is the source of this 637-nucleotide long non-coding RNA. RefSeq lists it as uncharacterized. Lineage: Eukaryota; Metazoa; Chordata; Actinopteri; Cyprinodontiformes; Poeciliidae. The record is from RefSeq and is a predicted model, not a curated record. The transcript is spliced from 4 exons.
AGGUCUGGGUGCUGUGGGACUGAAGCCAACCACUCCUUGUAGGCCUCUGGGUUUUUGUUGGAAGAAAAAAGAAGGUCCGAGUCUGUGGGAAGAUGGUGACGACAGCAGCCAAUGACUCGCAGCUGUUAAUCCUAAUAACUGGCAGCCCUCGGUGUAAUGGCGGAUUUGCAGUGAACACUCUUUUACAAGUGUUUUGAUUCAGUUUUUACCGUGACCCUGAAGCUUGCAGACGCCUCCACCUCCAGGCACAUCUGGACCUCCUCUGUACUGAGGUUCUGCAGGCUGGCCUGACAUUGGCGAAUGCUGGUGACAGACUGAACAUCUCCACCCAACUUCACCUAGCUGUACACCGGAGGAAGCCGUUCCACCGCUUUGCUGAAUUCCCUGUGCAGCCUGGGCUCGUUUGACACUCGGUAGCUGAUUUCAGGAACAAAAAUAAACAGUGAAACAAAUGUUUGGGCUGCAGCUAAUGACUGUUUUAGUUAUUUACUAAUUUAUCAAUUAUUCUUACAACUAUUUGAUUAAUGGGAUAUGAAAAGUACACUUUCUUCUAUUUUUUCAUUAAAAUGUUUUUCAUACAGUGCUAGAAGUUCAUCUUGGCUAUAUAGUUAGUAAUUGAAUAGCAAAAGCUACCUGA